AGGAGAAGAUAGCUAAGGGAUAAAAUGAGAAAUCAGAUUUUGAGUCUCAGUUUAGCACGUUCCUUUAUGUGGUCAGAAAGCUGAACUCUGAGUUCCAGCAUAUUACACAGUGGUUCUUAAAUGGGCUUGAUUAGAGGUAAGCAGCUGUUGACUCAUGUUUCUCCUUAGCCACUGGUUCCUUGCUGUCCUAAUCUGAGACAAAUUGUAAUGGGAGGCUGGAGUGGCAGGUAGUAGAUAAGGACAUUGCCUUUUCUCCAACUCUUUGAGAACAGUUAAGUAAAGCCCAUGCCUAAUUUCAGGAACGUUCUUAGCUUUAUCAUAUUCAAAAAUAGGCUUAAGUUUAACUGUAGGGUUGAUUGACAUUUUAGAUAUUUAUGCUUGUAGUCUUAUAUUUCUUACAAAUCACAGUAUUAAGUUGGGUUAAUUUUCACAGGAUAGAAAGUCAGGGAAAGUUAAGGUGGUAUGAGAAGCCCUGUCCACCCCAGAAGAUAGGAUGUCUUUCUUGUUGAACAAGAGCCAAGAAACUUUUAACAAUUUAUAAUGUCAAAUUGCCAACAGAUAGUGUUUUCCUAGAGACAUCUCAAUCAAGAAUGUUAAAAACAAUAAAUGAACUUCGUUUACUUGGGGCCUUGGGUUUUUACCAUACCAGUUCUCAUCCCUAAAUCUGAGUGAUGAUUUCAUAAAUCAAAAGAGAAUAGGAAAAAUGUAAACUAGUUCAUAUUUUUUUUCUUAAUUUUAAGUCUUACCUAACCUUUAAAAUUUACAAGCUUUAUCCUUUGAAGUAUGUAAGAAUGUAACUUAGAAAGCCACGGGGUCUUUAUACAUACAUACACACACACACACACACACACACACACACACAUAUACACACACAUAGAGACAGACAGACACACUCUUUCUCUCUCUGGAGAUGCCUGCAUCAUGUUGUGUGAUUGCAUAUUGUCCUUUUCCUGUAUUUAUGGCUCUCUAACCAAUUAUUUAGUAAACUCACUACCUUUGCUUAUCUCUGGCUCAUCUUGAAAUGUCUUUUGAGUAUUUUCUGUAACUUCAUAGCCUAGGAUCAGCCUUUAUCUGAAUGGAAUGCAAGCUUUUAAAGCUUCUAGUGGCCAUGAUGUGCUAUGGUAAUUUGUUGCUGGCAAUUUUACCAAUACUUGAUAAGACAUUCCUUUGUAAUCAACCUAUCCUCUUUAUUGACUGUUUCCUCUUGCUCAUAGGUUAUAUUUUCAUUUGGGUGCCUAACAUGAGUGAGGCCCUAGGUUCAAUCUAUAGCAUGCAUGUACAUGCAUAUAUGCAUGCAUAUAUAGAUAUGUUUGUGUGUGUGUAUAUAUAUAUACACACACACACACACACACACGCAUAUGUAUGUGUGUUAGACAUUGUUAACUUAAGAUUUGUUUGCUCUUUCUGAUUCUUUUUUUUUUAAAUAGAUUUAUUUAUUUUAUGUAUGUGAGUACGCUGUCCCUGUCUUCAGACACACCAGGAGAGGAUAUUGAAUACCAUUUCAGAUGGUUGUGAGCCACCAUGUGGUUGCUGGGAAUUGAACUCAGGACCUCUGGAAGAGCAGUCAGUGCUCUUAACCACCGAGCCAUCUCUCCAGCCCUUCUGAUUCUUUUCUAGUUUUAAUUAAAAUUAAGUAGUACAUUGAAGGCAAGGUUUGGUUUUAAGAACUAAUUCUUUACAAGAGCCAUAUAGGUUCUCCUUCUAUGAACCCUUUAAGCAUCUCUGUUGGAUGCCUCGGGUUUGAACAAUAGCUCCUUCACCAUUUAUCCCUGAACUUGUGGGGUUGGACGGGGUACAGUCACAAUUAGUAACAAAGGUGGAAACUGAUGCGGCUGUUCUAGAGUCAGUCUAUCUCCCUGUGCGCUUCCUCAACUGCUCAGUUAGUGCUUGUGCUGUGAAUGCCUACAAAAUGCUUUCAGAUGGAAGAGUGAGUCCACGAUAAACUUGGUCCAAUAAAAAUGAGAAUAUGUUCAUUUGUUUCCUUUCCUUCAAGGAUGUUAGUGUUUCCCCCAGUUUUUCUGAGUAAUAUGGUCGAAGGAAAGUUCUCCCCAGUUAGAUGUUGACCUCAAAUGCAAAUGAACUACAUUUCAUUAUAUCUCUCUGAAUAUAAAUUUAACUUGCUUUACUCUUUAACAUGUUAAAGCAUUAAUUUAUACUUUAUAGUUAUUGGUACCAUAACAGUGCUAUUCGUGGUUGGAUAUAGCUAUCAUUUCAUGCAAGUUUGUAUACAUAAAAUAUACUUGCCUCCAGACAUGAAUAUAGGUUUUGGCAAAAUGAAAGAAAAUCUCUCUGAGAUAAUUUUGAAAUCCUUGUUUCAUUUAUGAGCUAGUUGUUGGCAUAAUGGACAGAUGAUCUGAGAUGUUGAAAAAUUAGACAUGUCCAGUAAGAUUCUCACAGUUGAAGACAGUUAUAGGAUGCAUAGCUAAGUUUAAAGCUGGUGUAAGAUCUUAGUGACAGUUUGUCUUCUAUUAUGGAUUCUUUGUAAUAAAUUUGCCAUCACUAAAGUACUGGAUAUUAUUGUGUGAAAAAUGUAGCGAACAAUGACACCGUUUACUUCAGGAGCCUGUGAAAUGGCACAGUAGAUAAAACAGUUGCUGUGCCAGCCUGAUAGUCUGAUCUCUGCUCUGGAACCGCAGCAGCAGGAGAGAGCCAGGCUCCGAAGUCCUCCAGCCUCCACGUGUGGCACAGCAGCCAUACUCAUAGAUAAAUGAAUUUUAGCUGGGUGUAUAUCUUUUAAUCCCAGCACUAGGAAGAUAGGGGCAGACAUUUCUGAAGGUUCCAUGUUGAGUCCCAGGCUAGCGUGGGCUACAUAAAGACCCUGUCAUUUCCUCUCUCCUGCCUCCCCCGCC
RNAcentral lists this long non-coding RNA (2849 nucleotides) under Mus musculus (house mouse). RNAcentral describes it as "long non-coding RNA chr1:159235709-159238558". The record is from RNAcentral. Lineage: Eukaryota; Metazoa; Chordata; Mammalia; Rodentia; Muridae.